This 68-nucleotide transfer RNA is filed under the name Triops cancriformis. RNAcentral's name for it is "tRNA-Leu". Lineage: Eukaryota; Metazoa; Arthropoda; Branchiopoda; Notostraca; Triopsidae. The record is from RNAcentral.
UCUAAAAUGGCAGAUAAGUGCAACGGAUUUAAGCUCCGUAUAUGAGAACGAAAGUUUCUCUUUUAGAA